UCGAGCGCGAAAGGGGGGGGCAACUCCCCCGAGUAGAGCGGCGCACGGGUGAGUAACGCGUGGGUAACCUACCCCCCGGCGGGGGAUAACUACUCGAAAGGGUGGCUAAUACCGCAUGAGACCACGGGGUCCCCGGACCCUGAGGCCAAAGGUCGCUUCGGCUUGCCGGAGCGAUCACCGGAGGAUGGGCCCGCGUCCGAUUAGCUAGUUGGUGAGGUAACGGCUCACCAAGGCUACGAUCGGUAGCUGGUCUGAGAGGAUGAUCAGCCACACUGGAACUGGAACACGGUCCAGACUCCUACGGGAGGCAGCAGUGAGGAAUAUUGCGCAAUGGGGGAAACCCUGACGCAGCAACGCCGCGUGGGUGAAGAAGGCCUUCGGGUCGUAAAGCCCUUUCGGACGGGACGAACGCUCCGCGGUGACAACCCGCGGAGUCUGACGGUACCGUAGGAAGAAGCACCGGCUAACUCCGUGCCAGCAGCCGCGGUAAUACGGAGGGUGCAAGCGUUGUUCGGAAUUACUGGGCGUAAAGCGCGUGUAGGCGGCCUUGCAAGCCAGACGUGAAAGCCCCCGGCUUAACCGGGGAAGUGCGUCUGGAACUGCUCGGCUCGAGUACGGGAGAGGGAGGCGGAAUUCCCAGUGUAGAGGUGAAAUUCGUAGAUAUUGGGAGGAACACCGGUGGCGAAAGCGGCCUCCUGGACCGAUACUGACGCUGAGACGCGAAAGCGUG
Molecule: ribosomal RNA, 730 nt
Filed under: uncultured delta proteobacterium
Lineage: Bacteria; Deltaproteobacteria
Description: bacterial SSU rRNA
Rfam family: Bacterial small subunit ribosomal RNA
Source: RNAcentral